RNAcentral lists this long non-coding RNA (375 nucleotides) under Mus musculus (house mouse). RNAcentral's name for it is "long non-coding RNA chrX:67167011-67167386". Lineage: Eukaryota; Metazoa; Chordata; Mammalia; Rodentia; Muridae. The record is from RNAcentral.
AUGCCUCUCAGAACCUUAAAAAACCAACCUGACUGCAGUUCUGAAUCCGCCCCGCGAAUGGAGAAUCUCCUCGGUGCCGGCGAUGGUAAGGCAGUUCUCGGGUUUCGGCACCAAUUCUCACAGGUGCUAUUGUCUCGCCAGCAAGAACACACGCGUGAGAAACCGGAUCCUUUUGCAGCAACUUUAUUAUACCAGUUUCAACAUGAAGAGGAAGACCCCAAGCACCAAAAAGGUGCCGCCUAUAUACACCUUAGUGUGGCAUGUCCACACCCGAUUGGCUGCUCUCCCAGAGCCUCACCACCACGCCCCGGGAUAGGCAGUGACUUGGCACGAAUUUACUCUUGCACCUGCGCACAUUACUUGUUUACCAGUUAG